UACGUAGGGGGCUAGCGUUGUCCGGAAUCAUUGGGCGUAAAGCGCGUGUAGGCGGUCCGGUAAGUCCGCUGUGAAAGUCGGGGGCUCAACCCUCGAAUGCCGGUGGAUACUGUCGGGCUAGAGUGCGGAAGAGGCGAGUGGAAUUCCUGGUGUAGCGGUGGAAUGCGCAGAUAUCAGGAGGAACACCAAUAGCGAAGGCAGCUCGCUGGGACGGUACUGACGCUGAGACGCGAAAGCGUGGGGAGCGAACAGG
This 253-nucleotide ribosomal RNA is filed under the name uncultured bacterium. RNAcentral describes it as "partial 16S ribosomal RNA". It matches the Rfam family "Bacterial small subunit ribosomal RNA", at positions 524 to 776 of the family's 1533-position model. The record is from RNAcentral.